GUCUGGGUGACUAUAGUGUCCCUUUAAAGUUACUUACUUGUGGAAGAAUGAUAACCAUUAAGAAUAACUGAUAUUGGGCAUUCGUUAAAAAAUGCACCACCAGAUUUCAGACAGGUUUGAUGUGAUAUAUGUUUUGUGACAUAUGUGAUAGAUAUUUGUAAAGUCACUCAUUCAUUUCCUACUGGGACAUCUCAGCCUGGAUCCGUAGAAGAAAGCCCUUUGCAUUACUUAUCUACUUCUGAGUGCAAGGUAGAACAUGAGGAUUAAAUCAGAGCCCACUUUAGUAGACACAUUAAGCUAACCAACACUUUUAAGGUAUUGAUAAUUAGUGCUUCCCAUCAGCAUUUUACAUUUUUUUUAUCCAGACACUUUAAGGCUGUCUGGUGAAGGUUGAUUCCUAAAUGUGAUGGGAAAGGGGGGUUUGAUGCUUAAAGGUGAUGUGAGAGGAUUAUCCUUAAUGGUGAUGGGAGAGGAAGGGAGUGAUGCCUAAUGAUACUUUGAACGAUGGUACCAUUACCGGUUGAAUAUAGGUUGUCUUCUGAAUACAAAACACCCUCUGAAUGAGUCAGAAACCCAUUCUAAAAUGGCAUCUAUCCAAAAGAGGGACAGACUGAUGGUAAAAAGGUAUACUAGUCUUUAAGACCUUUUUAAAGGGAUUUUUUUUCACACAUGUGAUGCUAUGGAUUAUGAUGUUGAACAAGUAGUCAAUUAGGGCAUGAGGCAAUUCCAAAGGUGGAGUAUCACCAUCUUAAAACUUUAUUAGACACCACUGUGAAUACUUAAAUCAAUUAAAAAGAUUAUUGGAGAAUUAGUCUAGCUAUCCAAAGGGUGCAUGGCAAUCAUACAUCAGAUGCAGGACCAAUGGACAUGCAUAGCAUCCCCUACAGAAGGAACUGAGUCUAUGGCUCAUGUAUGAUAAAUGGUAAACUACAUCAGUCACCAAAAUGACUAUCUCUGUCCUCCUUCAUCUAACAACUAAUUGAGUGACCACUUCAAGCUAGAAACCUCAAUCUUCCCUGUGGAGCUUCUGAUGAAUGACAAUGUACAAAAUCCUUAAUUGUGGCUUUUCAGAUGGUUGACAGUAAAAAGCAAUGUGCACAAACAUUGUUCUACUGUCCAAAUAGAAGAAGGCAUAGGGGAAUCUCUGAAAAUUAGUGUAAAAUAGGAAAGUGUGGAAGCUUAUCCUAAUUUAUGGGUACUGAUUGAUAAAUUGGCUUCCAUAUAACACCAAAUCUCUGUAAUUUCAAAAGGACCCUUAAAGGACCACUCUAGGCACCCAGACCACUUCAGCUUUAUGAAGUGGUCUGGGUGCCAGGUCCCUCUAGGAUUAACCCUUUUUUUUAUAAACAUAGAAGUUUCAGAGAAACUGCUAUGUUUAUACUGAGGGUUAAUCCAGCCUCCAGUGGCUGUCUCAUUGACAGCCGCUAGAGGCGCUUGCGUGCUUCUUACUGUGAAAAUCACAGUGAGAGCACGCAAGCGUCCAUAGGAAAGCAUUGUAAAUGCUUUCCUAUGCGACCGGCUGAAUGCGCGCGCGGCUCCUGCCGCACAUGCGCAUUCAGCCGAUGACGUCGCGAGCAAGGAGGAGAGGAGGAG
RNAcentral lists this long non-coding RNA (1593 nucleotides) under Pelobates cultripes (western spadefoot toad). The record is from RNAcentral. Lineage: Eukaryota; Metazoa; Chordata; Amphibia; Anura; Pelobatidae.